RNAcentral lists this ribosomal RNA (430 nucleotides) under Pseudomonadota bacterium. RNAcentral's name for it is "Proteobacteria bacterium partial 16S ribosomal RNA". It matches the Rfam family "Bacterial small subunit ribosomal RNA", at positions 355 to 776 of the family's 1533-position model. Lineage: Bacteria; Pseudomonadati; Pseudomonadota. The record is from RNAcentral.
UGGGGAAUAUUGGACAAUGGGGGGAACCCUGAUCCAGCCAUGCCGCGUGUGUGAAGAAGGCCUUAUGGUUGUAAAGCACUUUAAGCGAGGAGGAGGGUACUGGUAUUAAUACUACCAGGUACUGGACGUUACUCGCAGAAUAAGCACCGGCUAACUCUGUGCCAGCAGCCGCGGUAAUACAGAGGGUGCGAGCGUUAAUCGGAUUUACUGGGCGUAAAGCGUGCGUAGGCGGCUAAUUGAGUCGGAUGUGAAAUCCCCGAGCUUAACUUGGGAAUUGCAUUCGAUACUGGUUAGCUAGAGUGUGGGAGAGGAUGGUAGAAUUCCAGGUGUAGCGGUGAAAUGCGUAGAGAUCUGGAGGAAUACCGAUGGCGAAGGCAGCCAUCUGGUCUAACACUGACGCUGAGGUACGAAAGCAUGGGGAGCAAACAGG